CAGCAGCCACGGUAAAACGUAGGUGGCAAGCGUUGUCCGGAAUUAUUGGGCGUAAAGGGCUCGCAGGCGGUUUCUUAAGUCUGAUGUGAAAGCCCCCGGCUCAACCGGGGAGGGUCAUUGGAAACUGGGAAACUUGAGUGCAGAAGAGGAGAGUGGAAUUCCACGUGUAGCGGUGAAAUGCGUAGAGAUGUGGAGGAACACCAGUGGCGAAGGCGACUCUCUGGUCUGUAACUGACGCUGAGGAGCGAAAGCGUGGGGAGCGAACAGGAUUAGAGACCCCCGUAGUCCCUGUCUCUUAUAA
Molecule: ribosomal RNA, 301 nt
Filed under: uncultured bacterium
Lineage: Bacteria
Description: partial 16S ribosomal RNA
Rfam family: Bacterial small subunit ribosomal RNA
Source: RNAcentral